This 468-nucleotide unclassified non-coding RNA is filed under the name Hevea brasiliensis (rubber tree). Lineage: Eukaryota; Viridiplantae; Streptophyta; Magnoliopsida; Malpighiales; Euphorbiaceae. The record is from RNAcentral.
CCCCUUUCUUGUACUCCAUUUCAUCGAUUUUCCUUCCUUCUGAUGUUGUUUUCUUUAUAUGUUGCUCCAAUUGCUUUAGAUUUCGCCUGAAAAUUUGACAUCUUUGCUUUAGUUUUUCUGUCAGUUGAGCUCAUUUUUGUAAGCCUUGAAUUUGAGGAUAAAAGGUUGGUUAUUUUAACUGUGGAGGCGGAAACUGAAGAAUUCAUACAAAUGGCAGAUAGGUAUAGGUUGGUUUCGAUUGAGGAAUUGCCAUCACAUUUGAUUUUGGAGAUAAUGACAGCAGGCAGGCUUAGUGCCAUUGAUCUUGUUUGUUUAGAGUUGACUUCUAAGACCUUUGGAGGGAGCCAUGGGUUAUACCCUCACAAAUUCAAGUCAAUGGUAGAUUAUGCAGCAUUUCAGCUGUGCGUGUCACAUGGCGUUUAUAAUGGGAUGGCAUGGAAUGCCCAGAAAGAAUUGUUUGAUAGGUGU